UACGUAGGGUGCAAGCGUUACUCGGUAUUACUGGGCGUAAAGGGCGCGCAGGCGGUUAUGUAAGACAGGUGGGAAAUCCCCGGGCUCAACCUGGGAACUGCAUUUGUGACUGCAUAGCUAGAGUACGGUAGAGGGGGAUGGAAUUCCGCGUGUAGCAGUGAAAUGCGUAGAUAUGCGGAGGAACACCGAUGGCGAAGGCAAUCCCCUGGACCUGUACUGACGCUCAUGCACGAAAGCGUGGGGAGCAAACAGG
Molecule: ribosomal RNA, 253 nt
Filed under: uncultured bacterium
Lineage: Bacteria
Description: partial 16S ribosomal RNA
Rfam family: Bacterial small subunit ribosomal RNA
Source: RNAcentral